Molecule: transfer RNA, 71 nt
Filed under: compost metagenome
Description: tRNA-Gly
Rfam family: tRNA
About the family: Transfer RNA (tRNA) molecules are approximately 80 nucleotides in length. Their secondary structure includes four short double-helical elements and three loops (D, anti-codon, and T loops).
Source: RNAcentral
GCGGAUGUGGUGUAACGGUAACAUUAAAGGUUUCCAACCUUUCGUUGCGAGUUCGAAUCUCGUCAUCCGCU